AAGAAAAAAAAAACGAGAGACUGAAAAAGAGAGACGUAUAGCGAAAGAAAGAAUAAGGACGCGGGAUUCUAUCCCCGUAUAUUUCACAGGUGUUCGAAUCGAUCGAGUGAAAAGCUUAACGUGAACAUAUUGGCAUAACCGAUCGCAAGAUUUUCGGAAAAACCGUUACCACUCCGGAUUUUGGGGUCCUCUGGAUGUAACAGUUUUUCACCGAAGAGAAGAAAAGAAAAGAAAAAGAAAAAAUUUACUUCCGAGAUUCCGUAUUUCUAAAGGAUCUCCAUGACAAUGAAGAUCGAGACGAGGUUCAUCAGCUCUCCUCUCGGAGAUCACCCUCUUUUCCUUCUUUUUUUUUUCUCUCUCUCUCUUUUUCUCUCAUUGGAAAUUUUACUCCAUAGAUGUAGCGAUGGCCGGUACUUCAUCUCCCAACCGUUCUUCGUUUUUCUGGGGUAUUGUGCUGACGAUCCGUGUAUUCGGUACACGGUAUGCUGUAUCUCGCGAAGAUACAAUGUGAGCAAAAGUAGUAUUUUUCUUUGUCGCCCGUCGCAGGGAUGCUGCGCCAGGGUACGCGUACGUUGCUUUCGUGAGAAGGGGAGGAAUUUGUUACCUGGAUCGGGGGGGGAAAAAGCGAGAGAAAAAAAAAAAAAAAAAAUUAAGCCAGUAGACCGUGGUGGCUGAAUUUACAGAGUUUUAUAGAGAAAAUAUUGUCCCGUCCGGAAGAAAUCCCAAAUUUUCGGUUUCCCCGGGCUCUCACUUGCGCGCGUGUAUGUAGAUCGUAAUAGUCGAAUCGUGGGAAAGAUAAAUUUCGGUCUCGCCACUCGGUGGACACGAAAAGUUUUCAGUGAAAGUAGGAAAGCGAAUAAAAAAUGAAAAAUAAAUUUGGAACAAAGGUAAAAUAGUCGAGGACCGCGUCGACGAACGCUUGCAGCUUCGUCUCGACGAAGGGACGAAAUGAUACAUUUUUUUUUUCACUUAUCCCGCAUCUCUAUAAUUCUCGACGCGAUGUACCAUAGAUGGGCGGGUAUAUCGGUACAGUUUUCGUUCAAGGAUCACGAUAACGGAUCUAAAACAGACGCGCGACGUCUCGGAAGAAGCUAGAGGACUCGUCCACGAAUAUAUUUCGUCCGAGAUUAUACAUGUAAAGGACAUCUCGGUUCUGCUGAGAACGCUUCGCGGGAUAAAGAUGACUUCAUAGACUCCUUCGCGGUGCAGGCGAGUGUAGAUCAGAGGAUCCGCCGUGCCGCGGGGCACGCGUCAUCGAGCAGAAGGACCGCGAAGACGAUGUUGCUGGAGGGAAAAGAAGAGUCCCCCGGUUUUCUCAUGUACGCAACAUGUGGCCGAGUGUUCUCCGGUGCACCGCGCCAGGAGUGGAGAAGGAGGAGAAGAAAGAAAAAAAAAAAAAUGAGAGAAUGUGGAGAAGGAAAAGGAGAAAUAGGAUGGAUACGCCCGGUUCCACGUGUUGCACCACGACGCCGCCGCAGCCUGCGAGAACUUUUUAUUUCGUUUUUAUUUUCAUUUCGCUUUUUCUGUUUUUUUUUUUUUCUUUGGAACCGGAAAUACUCGCUACGGGGGAGGGACGGAUAAUAUUUUUGAAUAAUUGCUGUUUGGACGAGCUUUCCUUAAUUUCCCUAGUUUUGGAAUUUUUCCAAUAUUUAUUACACACCGUCCGCGACGUGGACAAAAAUAGAAGCCCGCCCCUCCCCCCUCGAUCGAUGGAAAAAUCGUCGAGACAUUACGACAUCUCGGAUCGUACGUACUUUUCGUAAGUUUUCUCGACGUUUCACAAACUAUCGAGUCACUAACGACAAACGAAAGUUAACAAUGGAAUUUGAUAAAUUAAUUUGCCUCGGCGACACCGCGUUCGUAACCGCUGAGAUGACCUCACUUUAUAAUUGUACGAAUUAACGGAGGCCCCCCCCCCUGCAAUAAACCGGGGUGAUCGUCACGCUCACGUUUAUAAUCCAACGCACAACUACGUGUCUUAUUACACACGCGGAACAUUUUCAGUCCUUCGACCGUCUUGCGCAACUUCGAACCCAAAAAAAAAAUGAAGAAAUCUCGAAUCACCGCGACGGAAGCUGCCUCACUUCGUGCUUCGGAUAAGCUCCGAGCGAACCAGAGGUACUCGAAAAUUUUUUAUCUAAAGUGGAAGGAACACUCGCGCAAAUGCGGAGUGUCCGUUAACGGUUUGACGCUAUCCAAGUAGUACGAGAGGUGAAAUAUGCGCGCCACAUGUAUGAAAAAAAAAUUGGACGAUUCAAUCGGGGGGUGAAGAUAGGUGUAAAUGGUCCCGUGAUCGCGUUGCGUACGCGAAUCGGAUUCUUUUUUCAUUGGUAAAAUUCAACCGGGUUUCCAAAAUGUCGGUUUCUAUACAAUAUAUAUGAUGUACAAGUUUUGGCCGCUACCGCAUGUAACAUUCCUUCCGCAUGGACCGACGGUGUAGUUUCGGUGUUCUUCUCGGACUGGUUUUGUCCUCGCCGCGUCGUUGAGCCCCAGAACCAGCUUUUACGAUCGUGUCUUUUCAUCGGACGCGCGACGGGUUUACAUGGGUUUUACGAACGACGGGGUAUACGUACGUACGUACGAAACAAAAGAACUUGUCAGUCGUUUGUAAAAUUAUGCUGGUGGAACCCGCAUGGGUAACACAACGUACGGACACGUCUUCUUAUCAACGUACAUUACCGGCAUAUUAAAACCGUCGCGAGUUUACGGCUGUAAUACGCGCGCGGCCCCGCAAUCAGCUACGCGCCCCGUCAACGAAAACCGGCGAGAAACGUGCAACCUUGGAAGUUGACGAAAGAAAAAAACGAACGAAACGUGGAAAAAAACAAAAAAAAACCAUCGAAAGAAAGAUAAGAAAUUCGUCAGCGUUUCAGUACCGCUUGUGGGAACAGGCGUUUCGAAAGCGAAGAGGAAUCGGCGAGGAUCGCUUAGGAUUCCGUCUGGUUCCUUUAGCGGCAGGACAAACAUAUGGCGACUACAUGCUCGGGGACUCUUCGGUGGCUCGGCUGACCUCUCGAAGUUCUUGGAUAGCGUCGGAGUUGUAUUCCUAGCCCAUAUGGUACUCGUUUCGGUAUUAUAAGUCGUUCGUCGCUCGACGGACGCCAAUAGCUACUGGAUCCAUAAUAUAUAUUUAUAGUUUGCGGUUUCUCGCUACAUAUGGUGUGCGCAUGAGUUAUAAAGUUUCUUAGAAAACCGCGUGCGAUUCACAUUUUUCUAUAACGUUAGACGGGCAUCCGUCAAGGGGGGGGGGGGGAUGCAGUUAUACGGAAUUAUUCUAUGGGCAUUGAAUCAUCUUCCAUAAAAAAAACAUCCGUAAUUCGAGCGAUCAAAGGAUACGAGAAAAUAAGUGAAAAUAAAAUAGACGACCGACCGACCGACCGACAUUCCCCACGACGAUGAAUCUCUCGGGGCAUGCUAUUUGGACGUUUCCGGCACAUUACCAGACUGGACCACUUCCGGGAUAAAGAAAACCGUCGUCCCGCCCCGCACGGUCGAACGCGACGAGCGACGGAUUCUCGGUGACCCGCGGUCAAACGCACGUCGUAAAAUUCGUCGAACGAUAUCCCGAUGAGUAAUCAAACUCUCUUAAAUUAAAAUUUCUACAACUCAAAUACGGUCGCAGCGAUCGGAUAAUUUUUUUUUGUCUUUCUUCUACGACGUUCCAACGGUCGUCGUACGUCGUUUCUUACUUCUUCUUAUUUUCACUCGGUACGAGUAGCACGUGCCGGCGCUUGGCGAUACACGAUUUCUCACUCAAGAGUCGCGGUAGACGUGUAGUUAAAUAGCCGAAGUAUAAGUCGCGGCUUGAAUAUGGGUACGUACGUGGACGGGCAUCGGUAUGGGCGUGAGACGUAACGUGCGUUUUCUCGUUUAUAGGUGUACGGGUAAAAGGAAACGUUCCAGGAAGUUUUGGCGCGCAGGUGUCGACGGCGACGUGGAGUGCCGACGAAGGUGGUCCAUAUAAACGCGGCCCUCCGUGUGCGCGUUGAACGAACUUUGGAACCUGCGGCGAACCUCGGCGAAACGUCACGAGUCCGGGCUGCCCGGAAAUUUUGAUAACAGAGGUGGCGCGCUUCGACGGAUUAUCGGCAUCUGUGCUCGACGAGCUAGUCGCUUCAGAUAUCCUCCGAUCCGCUCCCGAAGAGCACAACGGCCCGAGGACUGAUCCGUGUUUCGCAACGACGACGACGACGACGCACACCUGUUCCGUAAGUGUUAUAUACGUAUGUCGUGUGAAUGUAUACCGUAUGCACAAUAUCGGGAAGUCGAGAUCUCACGUCCCGCAUAAAGUGGCACGCGUUCAUCUCUCUGCUGCAGGCAUACAGCGAUCGACGUUUACCCUCGACAACGAACGAGGGUGGGCAGGACGAAAUCCGACGUGGUUUUUAGGGCAAACCGGAAACUGGUCCACGAGUAAGCCGCUGCAGUCGUUGAUUGUAUGACCAACAGGCGGCACACAAAGCAGUCUGGUCUCUCAUCGGGAAAACAAGACUAUCCUCGGUGCAUCUACAAAGUGAAUCGUCAUAUGUUCGGUGUAGAUACUUUGUAUGAAUGAGUUAUGCAUUAUAUUUUCGAAGAACUAUGACAUUACUGAUAUUAAUUAGGAAAUUAUUAAUUAUGAUAAUGUUGAUUUUGAUAUAAGGAUUGUUAAAACUAAUUAUAAGAGAUGUAUUUUAAUGAACGUAUGAACAUACUGUACGCAUUUUGAUUUUUAACUGUGAACAAUAGGAUUAUUAAUCUAAUGAAGUUGAUCAGAAACGAAUUAUUGUAAGCACACGAUUUUAAGUCGAUCUAAUCAUGGAAGAAUAAAUGUAUCUGUAAAAAUUAGGCCGUAAUGGGCAUCACGAUGUACCAACAUGUAUUUUCGAACGUUGAUCUAUCAAUAAACUUCA
This is a long non-coding RNA of Athalia rosae (coleseed sawfly), 4892 nucleotides long. RefSeq lists it as uncharacterized. Lineage: Eukaryota; Metazoa; Arthropoda; Insecta; Hymenoptera; Athaliidae. The transcript is spliced from 4 exons. The record is from RefSeq and is a predicted model, not a curated record.